RNAcentral lists this ribosomal RNA (405 nucleotides) under uncultured bacterium. RNAcentral describes it as "partial 16S ribosomal RNA". It matches the Rfam family "Bacterial small subunit ribosomal RNA", at positions 28 to 526 of the family's 1533-position model. The record is from RNAcentral.
GACGAACGCUGGCGGCGUGCUUAACACAUGCAAGUCGAACGAGUGGCGAACGGGUGAUUCACACGUGGUUGAUCUGCCUUUCACUUCGGGAUAAUCUUUGGUCACUGGGUCUAAUACCGGCUAGUGCAAGAUGAGCUUGAGGCCUAUGUGCUUGUUGGUGGGGUAAUGGCUACCAAGGCGCGACGGGUAGCCGGCCUGAGAGGGUGUACGGCCACAGUGGGACUGAGAGACAGCCCAGACACAUACGGGAGGCAGGAGUGGGGAAUAGUGCAAAAUGGGCGGAAGCAUGAUGAAGCGAAGCAGGGUGGGGAAGGAAGGGCUUGGGGUUGUAAACUCGUUUAGACAGGAAAGCGGUAAGUGGAAAAAAAGCAACGGCUAACUACGUGCCAGCAGCCGCGGUAAUUC